AUUAUUAUGUACCAGCGGUUCUCAAACUAUAAGUAUACUUUGUUCGCGGAGCCUUUAAGUUGCUGUAAAAUAACCUACAGAGUUUCCCGAUUCCCAGACAUCACAAACGCCAGUUUUCGACCAGAGCUCGUUUGGUUUUUAAUUUGUUUUCUUCGUGCGAUGACAACAUAUUCGAUUUAAUUAGUACUUACAGUUCAAAAACAUAUUGCAGUGUGUACAACGCGCCGCAAUUCGGCAAGCACCGUAAAUUACAACAUUAGAACUAUUAGGAACAACUUGGUCACACAAAACGAACUGUGGAGAACCAUUAGCGUCGGCAUCUGCUAUCUAUAAUAUAGAUGAAACAAUAGUGAUGAAACUUUCGUUGUAGCCAUUCAUCGCGUCUACGUCUCAAUCGCAUCGGAGCUUUGGCAGGAGGACUCGAUCUAUACUGUGUUACCCGCCGUCGCCAUGCCGUGCAGUCUGCGAACAAUCAUCGUCCGUGUGAAUUUCAAGUACAACAAUCAGAUCUGCGCCACCGUGUACGUAACAAUAUUCGUGUACUGGUUUUCGUUGUGACCACAAGAAUCCGUACAAAAUGCAUCAGACGAAUAUUCCAGGCGUAUAAUUUAAUCAUCUCGCGCCUACCACGCACCCGGUCAGCCAAAUACAAAUUACCGAAGUAUUAUAAUAGCACUAUAAAAAAAAAAAAUAGUCGCCGAAAACAAGAUGACGUUUACGUCGUCAGACAAACAAACGGGACGACGGACGACGAACUCAAUUUUCGUCAUAAAGAAAUCGCAUGAGAGAAUAAUCUUAAUCAUGUAAAACUGAAUAGUGUACAAUAAAUUAUAGUAUGACGAAAUAAUAAUACCAUAUAUUAUACAAAAUGUCAAUGAAAUAAUAAUAAUAAUUAAUAAUAAAUUAUGCGUGUGCGUGUUUUUUUUCCUCUCCCACCACCCUAAACAAUCUGUUACAGACAAACAGAGAAACGUUUACAGAUGAUAACGACGAUGACGACAAAAUUAAUGCCGCCUGAUUAUACGUUCACAAAAAAAAUUUGACUUAUUGAUACAUAAAUAUUGAUGCAAAUUAUCGAGAUUUAUACCUAAAUUGUUUUUUUUUUUUAUUUUUUCUCUAUCAGUGACAAGUGGGCAAGAAUUUACACCCGUACCCGAUGUGAUUAAAUUUCAGUUUUCAAAUAGUUAACUGGGAAUAAAACGUCGAAUAUCUCACUGUAUUUAUUUUUAAAUCGGUUUUAUAUAUUAUACUUUCUAACCUGAUACAAAAUUUUGAAUCAUACUCAUUCUCAACUAACGUCUCAUAAGCCAUAAUUAUAAGAGAACGGUAGUAAAUGCUAGUAAUAUCUUGUAGUACCUAUGGUACCUAACCUAACCUAUGGUACUACUAAUAGUUACUGAAACUUACAAUAACCGGUUACAAUUUGUAUAUUUGUUUAAUUUAUAAUCUUCUUUUUAAAGUAAUCAAUAUAAAAUUUUAAAGUUUUUGAACUUUUUAUUUUUUAACUUAA
Molecule: long non-coding RNA, 1510 nt
Organism: Metopolophium dirhodum (rose-grain aphid)
Lineage: Eukaryota; Metazoa; Arthropoda; Insecta; Hemiptera; Aphididae
Exons: 3
Source: RefSeq, a predicted model, not a curated record